GGUUGUACAGCUCAAGUGGUAGAGCGUGUGCCUAACAUACACAAGGUCCUGGGUUCAAUCCCCAGUACCUCCU
RNAcentral lists this transfer RNA (73 nucleotides) under Camelus bactrianus (Bactrian camel). It matches the Rfam family "tRNA". Rfam says of the family: Transfer RNA (tRNA) molecules are approximately 80 nucleotides in length. Lineage: Eukaryota; Metazoa; Chordata; Mammalia; Artiodactyla; Camelidae. The record is from Rfam by way of RNAcentral. RNAcentral also lists the same sequence under 1 other name.